This 254-nucleotide ribosomal RNA is filed under the name uncultured bacterium. RNAcentral describes it as "partial 16S ribosomal RNA". It matches the Rfam family "Bacterial small subunit ribosomal RNA", at positions 524 to 776 of the family's 1533-position model. The record is from RNAcentral.
GACGUAGGGGGCGAGCGUUAUCCGGAUUCACUGGGCGUAAAGGGCGCGCAGGCGGCUAUGUAAGUCCGGCGUGAAAUCCCACGGCUCAACUGUGGAAUUGCGUCGGAUACUGCAUUGGCUUGAGGACGGUAGAGGCUUCUGGAACUAGCGGUGUAGCGGUGAAAUGCGCAGAUAUCGCUAGGAACGCCGGUGGCGAAGGCGGGAGGCUGGGCCGAUCCUGACGCUGAGGCGCGAAAGCUAGGGGAGCGAACCGG